ACUAGCAUAUCAAUAAGCGGAGGAAAAGAAACCAACAGGGAUUGCCCUAGUAACGGCGAGUGAAGCGGCAACAGCUCAAAUUUGAAAUCUGGCGUCUUUGGCGUCCGAGUUGUAAUUUGCAGAGGGCGCUUUGGCAUUGGCAGCGGUCCAAGUUCCUUGGAACAGGACGUCACAGAGGGUGAGAAUCCCGUACGUGGUCGCUAGCCUUUACCGUGUAAAGCCCCUUCGACGAGUCGAGUUGUUUGGGAAUGCAGCUCUAAAUGGGAGGUAAAUUUCUUCUAAAGCUAAAUACUGGCCAGAGACCGAUAGCGCACAAGUAGAGUGAUCGAAAGAUGAAAAGCACUUUGGAAAGAGAGUUAAAAAGCACGUGAAAUUGUUGAAAGGGAAGCGCUUGCAGCCAGACUUGCCUGUAGUUGCUCAUCCGGGUUUUUACCCGGUGCACUCUUCUAUGGGCAGGCCAGCAUCAGUUUGGGCGGUUGGAUAAAGGUCUCUGUCACGUACCUCCUCUCGGGGAGAACUUAUAGGGGAGACGUAAUGCAACCAGCCUGGACUGAGGUCCGCGCAUCUGCUAGGAUGCUGGCGUAAUGGCUGUAAGCGGCCCGUCUUGAAACACGGACCAAGGAGUCUAACAUCUAUGCGAGUGUUUGGGUGUCAAGCCCGAGCGCGUAAUGAAAGUGAACGGAGGUGGGAACCUUUCGGGGUGCACCAUCGACCGAUCCUGAUGUCUUCGGAUGGAUUUGAGUAAGAGCAUAGCUGUUGGGACCCGAAAGAUGGUGAACUAUGCUUGAAUAGGGUGAAGCCAGAGGAAACUCUGGUGGAGGCUCGCAGCGGUUCUGACGUGCAAAUCGAUCGUCAAAUUUGGGCAUAGGGGCGAAAGA
RNAcentral lists this ribosomal RNA (878 nucleotides) under Boeremia strasseri. RNAcentral describes it as "LSU rRNA". It matches the Rfam family "Eukaryotic large subunit ribosomal RNA", at positions 33 to 930 of the family's 3401-position model. Lineage: Eukaryota; Fungi; Ascomycota; Dothideomycetes; Pleosporales; Didymellaceae. The record is from RNAcentral.